Molecule: long non-coding RNA, 677 nt
Organism: Vitis riparia (riverbank grape)
Lineage: Eukaryota; Viridiplantae; Streptophyta; Magnoliopsida; Vitales; Vitaceae
Exons: 4
Source: RefSeq, a predicted model, not a curated record
CUGAUGCCCAGGCCGCACGUUGCUAACUUCGUUCUCUAUUAAAGCGUUCAAAGAACGAUAGCAUUUCAGCUUCUACGGAGACUGGCAUAGUUGCUAGGAUCUUGGUGAAUUGUUACAACUAUCUUCAUUUUCCAUGAUUAGAAAGAAUUUGUUCAACUCCACAGCUGAGGAUGGGAGUGUGGGCAUAUAUAUGGUUGGAGAUAAUGGAAAUGAGUGGAGCAGCUCCCAUAGCAGUUGGUCAAGAAGGACAAAAUAAGUUAAUUGACAGAGCAAUUGGAGAUGUGCCAGCUAAGAGAGGAAAGGUUUGAGAAGAAGCUUUGGGGCAAAGCUAAAAGGUUGCAGCAAAGCUCUUUGAGAAACUGAAGUGACGAGAAGGUAGUUCCAUGCCAUAUUCAUGUUCUGGUUACUAUGUAUUGCCAACUUCUGGUUUCUAUCUCCAGCAUUUGAAUGUCCUAUUGUCGAAGACAAGCUCAUCAUGGUUGAAUAAUAUAAGCUCCAGCAGCAACUAUUGUAAACAAUUGAAACCUUGAGUUGAUAAACAAAUUUGUAAAAAUUGAUUUCAGAUUUGGCUUUGUUGAGUGAUGACUGAUGAGAAGGAAAAAUGCAGUCUGAAAAAUUAUCCGGAAUGAAUUUAGUAGUAGCUAUAAAAACCUAUUAUUAAGAUUAGGUACUAACAA